UCACACCGUUCCACUGUUUACAAACAAAUCCGGUGCCGUGAUGGUGCUUUCCCAUCAUUAAUUUGCAAGUUUUUUAGGGCAAAAAAGGGUCUGUGAAGGUCAAUGGUUGGUGGUUGGUGGAAAUAACUUAUACGGAUUUGCGCGAAUGACAACGUGCCUGGACGUUUGCGCAACACGAGCUAGUUUACGCCACCGGUUGUUUGAUUUCGGAGCGGCCGGCUACUUUACCAUCCACAUCCAAGAUGUAUCACCGGAAUCUGGCCCAUCUGAAUCCGUACGAGCUGCACAAGCAUCUGAUCAACGAGUACAUGCUCACGAAGCCGGGUGCAACGAAGCUGCUGCAGCGUGAUACGUCCCGCGACAAAACGGACCACGAUGUAGUGCGCGAGAAUCACCGGUUUCUGUGGGAUGACGAAACGGUGGACAGCUGGGAGAAGCAGCUGGCCAAGAAGUACUACGAUAAGCUGUUCCGCGAGUACUGCAUAGCGGACCUGAGCCGGUACAAAGAGAACAAGGUUGCUAUGCGGUGGAGAAUCGAGAAGGAGGUGGUUGUCGGCAAGGGACAGUUCGUUUGCGGCGAUCGGCACUGCGAGGAGCGGAACGAGCUGCGCAGCUGGGAGGUCAACUUUGGCUACCAGGAGCAUGGGCAGAAAAAGAACGCACUGGUUAAGCUGCGCCUUUGUCCCAAAUGUUCCGACAAACUUAACUAUCACUCGAAAAAGAGGGAAAUCAAACGGCUGAAAAAACGAGAUCGUAAAGCAAAAUCUUCCAGUGGCGGUAGGAGGGUAAGCGAUGAUGCUGUUUCCUCAAGUAGCGUGGCUGCGCCUACUCAGGAAGGCACAUUUGUCGCCACGGCAACACAGGAAAGCACCGUACCGGAGGAAGUACCGGAAGCGGUAGGUGAACAAGAUGGUUCCUGUGCACCGGAAGUUGCUGGAGGAAGUUGGACGAAGGGCCAUGAAGUGGAAGAAAAGACACGUGAGGAAGAGUUUGACGAGUUUUUGGAGGAUCUUUUGCUUUAAUCUACGAUCGUCGCGUGCAAGCAGGCAUUAAACAAACGAUACUGUGUGCUACUAUUUUUAAGAUCGUAGUCGAGCUCUGUUUAAGCAUGUUUGGGAAAUAUAAUAACGCCUGUGGUGUUUUCGAAGUUAUUUCAGUUUAAUCGCAACAGUUUGCAUUUUGGCUGUUAUGCGUGCUGUGUGAUGUGUUGUUCAGUUUAAGAAACUUUUUUAAAAUAAAUUAUGGUUCCUAAAUGAUCUUGGAUUGCUUAGUAGUUACUUAAACAAUACUUUGCACAUUUUUACCAAACCAAUUCUUCAGUCAGGACCUUUCUGAAAUCCGAGAAUGAGUUGGGGAUUUCCUCAGCUCCGUCCAUGGGUAAGCAAUGUGCGUCAAUGUGGGGAUUUCAAAAUGUCAAUGUAGGUCAAGCAAUUGUUCGAAACAUAAUUUUCGUUAACAAAUCCAAUUGCCAGUCGUAAUUUUUCCCCAGCUGAGACCUAGCCUAACAUGGCUGAUUAUGCUCAACCAGCAUCGCCAACGGCGGCAAUAUAAGCGUCAAGUGAGAGAAUGUUAGUAAGAAGUGAAAUGUACGAUUGUAUUGUGCUUUACAUCAAAACCGGUUACAAUCCGUACUUAUCAACGAUUCGCGAAAUCCUUACCGCGUUAGUUUGCUUUAACUGCUCGAUCGAUGCACAUCAACGGAGUGGCACAAAAAGCACAAUGAAAGUUUUAUUAUUCUGUAUUGUUAUCUCACUCACCACGCUCAUUGCUUCCGGGCAAGACAUUGAAGAAGAACUGAGAUGUCCCGGUGGGUACUGCGUUUCGAAGUA
Molecule: RNA transcript, 1829 nt
Organism: Anopheles coluzzii
Lineage: Eukaryota; Metazoa; Arthropoda; Insecta; Diptera; Culicidae
Gene name: phenoloxidase-activating factor 2
Exons: 6
Source: RefSeq, a predicted model, not a curated record